UUGAAAUAAACCUGAUGGGUUGCUGCUGGUUCUCUAGGGAGCAUGUGCACACCUUGUCAUCUUUAUAUCUCCACCUGUGCACUUUUUGUAGACCUGAAAAGGUCUAUGUUGCUUCAUUUUACCCCAAUUGUAUGUCAAUAGAAUGUUGUGCCUAUAUAAUAUAUA
Molecule: unclassified non-coding RNA, 165 nt
Filed under: uncultured Cortinarius
Lineage: Eukaryota; Fungi; Basidiomycota; Agaricomycetes; Agaricales; Cortinariaceae
Description: sequence contains ITS1
Source: RNAcentral